GACGAACGCUGGCGGCGUGCUUAACACAUGCAAGUCGAACGGUAAGGCCCUUCGGGGUACACGAGCGGCGAACGGGUGAGUAACACGUGGGUGAUCUGCCCUGCACUUCGGGAUAAGCCUGGGAAACUGGGUCUAAUACCGGAUAGGACCACUGCCUGCAUGGGUGGUGGUGGAAAGCUUUUGCGGUGUGGGAUGGGCCCGCGGCCUAUCAGCUUGUUGGUGGGGUGAUGGCCUACCAAGGCGACGACGGGUAGCCGGCCUGAGAGGGUGACCGGCCACACUGGGACUGAGACACGGCCCAGACUCCUACGGGAGGCAGCAGUGGGGAAUAUUGCACAAUGGGCGCAAGCCUGAUGCAGCAACGCCGCGUGAGGGAUGACGGCCUUCGGGUUGUAAACCUCUUUUAGCAGGGAAGAAGCGAAAGUGACGGUACCUGCAGAAAAAGCACCGGCUAACUACGUGCCAGCCGCCGCGGUAA
RNAcentral lists this ribosomal RNA (478 nucleotides) under uncultured bacterium. RNAcentral's name for it is "partial 16S ribosomal RNA". It matches the Rfam family "Bacterial small subunit ribosomal RNA", at positions 28 to 523 of the family's 1533-position model. The record is from RNAcentral.